UAGGUGAACCUGCGGAAGGAUCAUUACCGAGUUCAUGCCCUUCGGGGUAGAUCUCCCACCCUUUGUAUACUAUACCUUUGUUGCUUUGGCGGGCCGCCUAGCUACUGGCUUCGGCUGGUAAGUGCCCGCCAGAGAACCCAAAACCCUGAAUUAUUAGUGUCGUCUGAGUAAAAUAUUUAAUAUUUAAAACUUUCAACAACGGAUCUCUUGGCUCUGGCAUCGAUGAAGAACGCAGCGAAAUGCGAUAAGUAAUGUGAAUUGCAGAAUUCAGUGAAUCAUCGAAUCUUUGAACGCACAUUGCGCCCCUUGGUAUUCCGAGGGGCAUGCCUAUUCGAGCGUCAUUAUCACCCCUCAAGCCUAGCUUGGUGUUGAGACCUGCUGUCAAGGCAGUCUCUAAAAUCAGUGGCAGUGCUGUCAGGCUCUAAGCGUAGUAAAUUCAUCGCUAUAGACACCUGGUGGACACUCGCCAGAACCCCCCCAUUUUUUAAUGAUUGACCUCGGAUUAGGUAGGGAUACCCGCUGAACUUAAGCAUAUC
This 536-nucleotide ribosomal RNA is filed under the name Tetracladium maxilliforme. Its description in RNAcentral is "eukaryotic LSU rRNA". The stretch from base 188 to 341 matches the Rfam family "5.8S ribosomal RNA". Lineage: Eukaryota; Fungi; Ascomycota; Leotiomycetes; Helotiales. The record is from RNAcentral.